Molecule: long non-coding RNA, 1346 nt
Filed under: Homo sapiens (human)
Lineage: Eukaryota; Metazoa; Chordata; Mammalia; Primates; Hominidae
Description: long independently transcribed non-coding RNA 2235, transcript variant 5 (LINC02235)
Source: RNAcentral
AUGGGCGCCCGCCCACCGGAGGAGCGACUGGAGUUGAUCGGCUGGGCGCUCAGAACCUGGACAACUACCCUCAAUUGGUAACAUAUUUUGGUGAGCCAGCCAGAAGGGCCACUCUCUGGUGAAACUAAAAGGUCCAUGUGGAAGCACCUGACUGCCACCACCUGGUUCAGAAAUUACAAUUUGGGGACAGGAGGAGAGAUACAGGUGGGAAGUCACAGGAACUAAAGUCAAACUAAAGGAAAAUCUGUGGCGAGAAGGUCCAUGAAGUUCUACUGCUAAGGUCCCUGAAGUUGAUCUGGUUCCUCCCGCUUCUGGACUUUUCCUUGGACUCCAUGAGAUAAUCUAAUGUUCUUUCAAUAGUUUCACUCUUGUUGCCCAGGCUGGAGUGCAAUGGUGUGAUUUCAGCUUACUGAAACCUCCACCUCCUAGGUUCAAGAGAUUCUCCUGCCUCAGCUUCCCGAGUAGCUGGAAUUACAGCUUCAGAUCCAAAUGGUAUGCUAGCAUUCUCUUCCUAGCAGUCCACUGUCAAGACUUCACUGUUAGAAGAAGAAUCACACCAGAAUUAAGGUCAAAUGGAUUAUCUUAUUCUUAAUUGCUGAAAAUCACACCUCAUUGAAAUUUGCUUCAUAACUGAACCAUGAAUUUUUCAUCAAACAUACUUUUGUGUUUCUCCUCCUGGCAUUCUUUAUGAGGAACUUCUUUUUGGAGCUCACUGACUUCCUGUUCUAAUUUGGUCCAGUUAUUUUCUAGAAUUGCUACAUGACUGUCAUCCUGGGACAUCCUUCUGUUGGAAUCUGGGAGAGCUUACAACUUUUCAUAUCCUCUCUUCUUCUUUGUGUUUUUCACCCUGAAGUGUACAAAGUCAAAUGAAUUUCCUAGAAAAACUAGUGAGUUAAUAUUUUGAGUCCUUGUGAUAUGGGAGGGGGGCAGGGAAGUGCUGGGUAGAGAAGGGUGGGGUCCCUGGUGAGGGCUCCACUCUCAGGCCUGUGCUCAUGGACCUAAAUGAGGACAGGCAUUUCUGUUUUCAUGCCCCAAAUGUUGCCUUUUGGCCCACCAUGCGCCCCAUCCUGUACCCAUAAAAACCCAAGACUUGAGAAGGCACAGACACAAGUGGCGGGACGUCAAGAGAGCUGAAGAACACAGCAACAGACACCAGCAGACAACAUCAGGCCAUCGAUGGCUGCAUGAUGUGGAAUUUGGCUGGGGGCAGUUGGAGGAGAGUCUGGCUAUUGGGCGACCUGACUCCAGGGGAAGACUACCUUCCCACUCCAUCCCCCUUGGGGCUCCUCAUGCAUCUCACGAGAGCUACCUCCACCACUCAAUAAAACCUUGCACGCAUCCUCCAA